CAACUUUCAACUUUCAACAACGGAUCUCUUGGCUCUCGCAUCGAUGAAGAACGCAGCGAAAUGCGAUACGUAAUGUGAAUUGCAGAAUUCAGUGAAUCAUCGAAUCUUUGAACGCACCUUGCGCCCCUUGGCAUUCCGAGGGGCACACCCGUUUGAGUGUCGUGA
This 165-nucleotide ribosomal RNA is filed under the name Lactarius deliciosus var. areolatus. RNAcentral's name for it is "5.8S ribosomal RNA". It matches the Rfam family "5.8S ribosomal RNA". Rfam says of the family: 5.8S ribosomal RNA (5.8S rRNA) is a component of the large subunit of the eukaryotic ribosome. It is transcribed by RNA polymerase I as part of the 45S precursor that also contains 18S and 28S rRNA. The record is from RNAcentral. Lineage: Eukaryota; Fungi; Basidiomycota; Agaricomycetes; Russulales; Russulaceae.